GGGCUCGCAGGCGGUUUCUUAAGUCUGAUGUGAAAGCCCCCGGCUCAACCGGGGAGGGUCAUUGGAAACUGGGAAACUUGAGUGCAGAAGAGGAGAGUGGAAUUCCACGUGUAGCGGUGAAAUGCGUAGAGAUGUGGAGGAACACCAGUGGCGAAGGCGACUCUCUGGUCUGUAACUGACGCUGAGGAGCGAAAGCGUGGGGAGCGAACAGGAUUAGAUACCCUGGUAGUCCACGCCGUAAACGAUGAGUGCUAAGUGUUAGGGGGUUUCCGCCCCUUAGUGCUGCAGCUAACGCAUUAAGCACUCCGCCUGGGGAGUACGGUCGCAAGACUGAAACUCAAAGGAAUUGACGGGGGCCCGCACAAGCGGUGGAGCAUGUGGUUUAAUUCGAAGCAACGCGAAGAACCUUACCAGGUCUUGACAUCCUCUGACAACCCUGGAGAUAGGGCUUUCCCUUCGGGGACAGAGUGACAGGUGGUGCAUGGUUGUCGUCAGCUCGUGUCGUGAGAUGUUGGGUUAAGUCCCGCAACGAGCGCAACCCUUGAUCUUAGUUGCCAGCAUUCAGUUGGGCACUCUAAGGUGACUGCCGGUGACAAACCGGAGGAAGGUGGGGAUGACGUCAAAUCAUCAUGCCCCUUAUGACCUGGGCUACACACGUGCUACAAUGGACAGAACAAAGGGCUGCAAGACCGCAAGGGUUAGCCAAUCCCAUAAAUCUGUUCUCAGUUCGGAUCGCAGUCUGCAACUCGACUGCGUGGAGCUGGAAUCGCUAGUAAUCGCGGAUCAGCAUGCCGCGGUGA
This 800-nucleotide ribosomal RNA is filed under the name Bacillus subtilis. RNAcentral's name for it is "bacterial SSU rRNA". It matches the Rfam family "Bacterial small subunit ribosomal RNA", at positions 565 to 1365 of the family's 1533-position model. The record is from RNAcentral. Lineage: Bacteria; Bacillati; Bacillota; Bacilli; Caryophanales; Bacillaceae.